CUGAGUUAUCCAAAAACUCCCAACCCUAUGUGAACUUACCACUGUUGCCUCGGCGAGCUGCGCUACCCUGUAGCUACUUUUGUAGCGACCUGGGAGCGCGUUAUAGGCUCGCCAGAGGACCACUAAACUCUGUUUUAUUUGUAUCUCUGAAUCUUAUAACUGAAAUCAGUUA
RNAcentral lists this unclassified non-coding RNA (172 nucleotides) under uncultured Hypoxylon. RNAcentral's name for it is "sequence contains ITS1". The record is from RNAcentral. Lineage: Eukaryota; Fungi; Ascomycota; Sordariomycetes; Xylariales; Xylariaceae.